This 2205-nucleotide long non-coding RNA is filed under the name Equus asinus (donkey). RNAcentral describes it as "lncRNA (ENSEASG00005034354.1)". Lineage: Eukaryota; Metazoa; Chordata; Mammalia; Perissodactyla; Equidae. The record is from RNAcentral.
UAUAAGCUAACAUUGUUGAAGCUAUUAGUAAAUGGGAUUUAAAGGUAGAACUAUCUUAAAGAGAACUAAGUGUUGUAGAAUAUAAUUGGUCCAAUCCAAUGUUCUCCAAACUUGUCAAAGCAUAAGAAUCUCCUCAGGGUGCUUGUUAAAAUAUAGAUUCUCAGGCACCACCCAGAUUUGCGGAACCAGAUCUGCAGAGGAGGGGCCUGGGAGUCUUUCAAGGUAGGUAGGGUGAUGACAUACUCUGGAUUUUGUGUGCCUUGGUUUCAGAUAUUCUACCUGAUAGAUUUCAGAUGUGUGUUUAUACUUGUCAGUUUAUAUCCCAACUUUUAGACGGAAAAUAUGGUCGCCAUUUAUAUAGGCCAUCUUAUUUAGAAUCUUCUCUCUUGAUUAGAGAGGUAUAACAUGCUUCUGGGUUCCCAGGAACAUGAGAGGAUGUGUAGCUACAAAACAGCAUAGUGUUGGUAUAAGUUACCCAGCUUUCUUGGCCUUCUUUCUUUCUAAGACCUUUACCAUCUUAGUAACCUGCUCCGUGAAAUAUAUGCAGCGAUAUGGUCAACAUAUCUUGACAACCCUGUGUCCUCCUGAGUCUCUGAGGCCUCUGUUCCCUCAGCCUGUCAGAGUGACAGUGAGUGUGGAAGCCGUGUCUGCACGCUGGGGCGACCCCAGGCUUUGUUCAUCGGAGGCCGAGCCCGCAGAGCUGUUGUUUCCCCCUGUGAGGGCUGGAACCAGGAAGGAACGUUUCACUUCACUGCACUUAGGACAGCGUGUUUUUAAUCAACUGUUCUGGAAAAACAGCAUUUUGUUGUUUUCACACAAGCCGGCGAGUUCAUUUCCCCUGUCUGGGCCAGGCAGUAACUAAUCAUUUCCCUAUCCGUGGCAGAGGGAGAUGAGCCCUGGCUCCUAAAACUUUUACUCCGAGGGCUGAGCUUUCUGUAGACGUUACAAAUGGAGUUCACACCUCUUGGAGGAAUCCAGGAUCUCGUUUUCAAUUGGAAGGAAGAUCAAUGAAGAAAAAUAACAACAUGAUUCCGGUACACCAUUGAGUUCUUUGGGAUGCACAAAAGUGUCUGGUUGGGAAACAUGAAAUAGAAGACAAGACCGCCUCAGGAAGUGUACAUGAGAAUAACUUUAAAGGAACCUAUCGAUUAAUGCAAAACAAUAGCUGUUGGAGGUAUGUAACGUUGUAGAGCUUGGACUGAACCUAGUGUGGCCCACUCUGCUGUACGAAGUCAAGAGGAGCCAUUCUCUGGGAAUGGAGGCUGUUCUUAGGGCAAACCUCACCUUCUGGCCUCAAAUACACUAAUGGCUGUUUUCUCUAAACUUGACUGUGUAGUGGGAUGUCACUUUUAAUUCUUUCUUGAGCAUCUCUGCUCAGCCCCUCCAGAGUCUUUCCUGUUGCCUGAAGGACAAUAAAGACAACAGAGACAACAUUGACUCUGGGCAGAUGAAAGUGAUAACAAAUUUCUAGCCUCGAGACUCAUUUCCUUCUUUUCUGGGAAGGGGCCUGUCAGCAUCAAAGCUCAGUCAAUGUGUGUCCUUUGAAUCAUCUGUUAUUUAUUUGCCUUGCUCUUACCCUGAGUGACAUCAAGGCUACUUCUGAUUGGGUGGUGGCUGCAUGUGAUCGAUUGGUUCCCUGUUAAUCAUUAACUUGGACCUGCUUGUCUCCUUGACUCCUCUCCAAGGUACAGUGUUAAAUGAUUACUUCAUUUUCUUGCUAUAACCCUUAAUCCUUAUCUCCUCAACAGUGUUUAUUGUCAAGGCCAGGGUCACCUGUUAUUUUAUGUUCUGGGACCUUCAGUGGAUGUCUGGCUUUUGGUGCUCUAGCUCUUAUCUUAGGGCAUAGCCUGUGUCGUGUUAUAUGUCACCUUGAUCCUUUGGGUUUUGUUUUUUGGGUUUUUUUUUCCGUCUACCAAUAUAGAACACUAUUGAUGUAACCUGUGCCAAGUAUUUUAUGUCUUUAGUCAUCACACUAUCGUGAGAACAUUAAACAAGUCCCAUUUUCUAGAUGACGAUACUGAGGUUCCAAGUGGUUAAAUAACUGGCCUGCUAUUUCCUAGAGAGUAAAUGGCAGAAAUGGGAUUCAGCACUAGGCCUGUCUGUCUCAUCCUGGGCACUAUAGGAAGAGUAUAACAUGCUAUCACCCCUUUUUGAAGCAGGGUUUUAAAAAUAUCCUAAUGCUCAUGGAAUUUUAAUCUUCUGCUC